RNAcentral lists this ribosomal RNA (500 nucleotides) under uncultured bacterium. RNAcentral's name for it is "partial 16S ribosomal RNA". It matches the Rfam family "Bacterial small subunit ribosomal RNA", at positions 30 to 523 of the family's 1533-position model. The record is from RNAcentral.
AUUGAACGCUGGCGGAAUGCUUUACACAUGCAAGUCGAACGGCAGCACGGACUUCGGUCUGGUGGCGAGUGGCGAACGGGUGAGUAAUGUAUCGGAACGUGCCCAGUCGUGGGGGAUAAUGUAGUGAAAAUUACGCUAAUACCGCAUACGAUCUAUGGAAGAAAGCGGGGGAUCGCAAGAACUCGCGCGAUUGGAGCGGCCGAUAUCAGAUUAGGUAGUUGGUGGGGUAAAGGCCCACCAAGCCAACGAUCUGUAGCUGAUAUGAGAGGACGACCGGCCACACUGGAACUGAGACACGGUCCAGACUCCUACGGGAGGCAGCAGUGGGGAAUUUUGGACAAUGGGCGAAAGCCUGAUCCAGCCAUUCCGCGUGCAGGAUGAGGGCCCUCGGGUUGUAAACUGCUUUUGUACAGAACGAAAAGGUUUCUACUAAUACUAGGAGCUCAUGACGGUACUGUAAGAAUAAGCACCGGCUAACUACGUGCCAGCCGCCGCCGUAA